GUUGUAUGGUUAAGUGACUAAGCGUACACGGUGGAUGCCUUGGCAGUCAGAGGCGAUGAAGGACGUGCUACCCUGCGAAAAGGGUUGGUGAGCUGGGAUGGAGCGCUAUAGCCAACCAUGUCCGAAUGGGGAAACCCACCUAAGAUAACUUAGGUAUCGUUAAGUGAAUACAUAGCUUAACGAGGCGAACCGGGAGAACUGAAACAUCUAAGUACCCCGAGGAAAAGAAAUCAACCGAGAUUCCGUUAGUAGCGGCGAGCGAACGCGGAGCAGCCCAGAGUCUGAAUCAGUGGAUGCGUUAGUGGAACGGAUUGGAAAGUCCGGCGAUACAGGGUGAUAGCCCCGUACACGAAGACGCAUUGCUGUGAGCUCGAUGAGUAGGACGGGACACGUGGUAUCCUGUUUGAAGAUGGGGGGACCAUCCUCCAAGGCUAAAUACUCCUGACUGACCGAUAGCGAACCAGUACCGUGAGGGAAAGGCGAAAAGAACCCCUGUGAGGGGAGUGAAAUAGAACCUGAAACCGUGUACGUACAAGCAGUGGGAGCACCUUCGUGGUGUGACUGCGUACCUUUUGUAUAAUGGGUCAGCGACUUACAUUUUGUAGCGAGGUUAACCGAAUAGGGGAGCCGUAGGGAAACCGAGUCUUAAUAGGGCGAAUUAGUUGCAAGGUGUAGACCCGAAACCCGGUGAUCUAGCCAUGGGCAGGUUGAAGGUUGGGUAACACUA
RNAcentral lists this ribosomal RNA (727 nucleotides) under Shigella sonnei. RNAcentral's name for it is "partial 23S ribosomal RNA". It matches the Rfam family "Bacterial large subunit ribosomal RNA", at positions 1 to 764 of the family's 2925-position model. The record is from RNAcentral. Lineage: Bacteria; Pseudomonadati; Pseudomonadota; Gammaproteobacteria; Enterobacterales; Enterobacteriaceae.